Molecule: ribosomal RNA, 512 nt
Filed under: uncultured bacterium
Lineage: Bacteria
Description: bacterial SSU rRNA
Rfam family: Bacterial small subunit ribosomal RNA
Source: RNAcentral
CUUAGGAUGAACGCUGGCGGCGUGCCUAACACAUGCAAGUCGAACGAAGCGUCCCGCCCGAAGAAGAGGAGAGCUUGCUCAAAUCGGACUCAAUUGGGACGACUUAGUGGCGGACGGGUGAGUAACGCGUGGGUAACCUGCCGUGUGCAGGGGGAUAACAGUUAGAAAUGACUGCUAAUACCGCAUAAGCGCACAGUAUCGCAUGAUACAGUGUGAAAAGCCGAGACGGCACACGAUGGACCCGCGUCUGAUUAGCCAGUUGGCAGGGUAACGGCCUACCAAAGCGACGAUCAGUAGCCGGCCUGAGAGGGUGAACGGCCACAUUGGGACUGAGACACGGCCCAAACUCCUACGGGAGGCAGCAGUGGGGGAUAUUGCACAAUGGGGGAAACCCUGAUGCAAGCGACGCCGCGUGAGUGAAGAAGUAUUUCGGUAUGUAAAGCUCUAUCAGCAGGGAAGAAAAUGACGGUACCUGACUAAGAAGCUCCGGCUAAAUACGUGCCAGCCGCUGC